Molecule: long non-coding RNA, 2080 nt
Organism: Erinaceus europaeus (western European hedgehog)
Lineage: Eukaryota; Metazoa; Chordata; Mammalia; Eulipotyphla; Erinaceidae
Exons: 3
Source: RefSeq, a predicted model, not a curated record
GUCUGUCUUUCUCUCCUCCCUCUGUCUUCCUCUCCUCUCUCCAUUUCCCUCUGUCCUAUCCAACAACGAACGACAUCAAUAACAACAAUAAUAACCACAACAAGGCUACAACAACAAAGGCAACAAAAAACAAAAGGGGGAAGAAAUGGCCACCAGGAGCAGUGGAUUCAUGGUGCAGGCACUGAGCCCUAGCAAUAAUCCUGGAGGCAAAAAUAAAAUAAAAUAAAAUAAAAUAAAAUAAAAUAAAAUAAAAUAAAAAACCAGACCAAAAGCCACUGCACAGGCACUAGGCAUGUGGUGUGCAGAUGGGCUCCCUUUCUGCACUGCAAGACAGUCACCACCACAGCCCUAUCUGACACUCCCACACGUCACAGAGAAUUACCACUUCUGCUUUGUGGUGAAAACACACCACCAUCCUCUCCUUCUCCCCGCUCACAGAAGCGAGUCCUUCGCCUUAUUUUUUUAUGAGCACAUUUCUUCUUCAUCUUCACCACCCCCUCCCCGCCCUACAACUUCAAAAGAGCCCCCUUCAACCAGGCUGCUGUUCUCACGAGCGCUGUGGAUAUCAGCCUGCCACCUCCCUCCAGCUCAAGGGGCAAAGUUGCCCAGGAUUUCCGGCCCAGACAGAAAGAUCUGGAAGGGCUGUGAACGAACAAACUCCAAAUGAAGAGGGCAGGGAGCCCAGGCUUCAUGUGGUUUUCACUCUCAACUGGCAACAGAGACUUCUGCCUUCUGGGGAGCCUGGACUUGGAGUUCUGGAUCCAUGGGGGCUGGUGGGUGACCUCUGACUCCUCAGAAGCCUUGGGCUGCGAUGCUUAGACAAACAGACGCGGGGCAGGCGGCCAGAAGCCAGGUCUCCUCAGCCCCACUGAUAGCACUGGAUGAAGAUGAGGGCCGGGCUGGUGACUGGUGUUUCAAUGGGGCGGGAGAGCCCAGACAGGAGCGCUGUCCCACGGGCCCCACAGGAAACCAGAGAGGGGCUCACUUCCUCUCUCUGGGCACGUCAUUGCCCUGGUGGCCUGGCUUUGAGGCAAAGUCUCCUAAAGAAGCCAUCUUGGUAGAUACCCAAACAAGGAGAGAGAGGUGCGGUCGGUGUGAGUGUGCUCGUGGCGGAGUGUCUCUGUCGUUUGGAGCUGAGAGGAUGCAAGCUGAGAAGCAGCCUCCAUGCACAGGUGAAGUUUGAGAACUUUCUGGAAAGAGUUCAAUUGUGCAGCUUGAAAGGCCAUAGCGGGAUGGGUGGCUUCAGCCACCUGUGUGUGAUCUGCAGACAUCUAGCAACACUCCUGUGGAGAGUUUGAGAAGAUCUGACCCCCUGUGUGUAAGUAAAUUGCAGCUGUCAAGUUCUCUACAGAAAAGCAGAAUUCCGAUGGCUGACAUUCCCCAUCGAGACAGAUGUACAACAAUUCACCCCCUGGCAAUUCUUCAGUGGACAUCUGCUUUGGACUCGCAUUUCUAUCAGACUCACUGGUACACCUCUUGGACACUUUGCACAAAACUAGCAGCUUCCCUGUAUGCAGCUGGGUUUCUCAAAGACUGACUAUAGCCAGCUGCCUUGAGACUCUAGGCCUCACCCUCCCCCCAUGCUAGAAAAUGCCCAUCGAAGCAAGUAACGCCCCCCAGAGGCAAAAGAAGCCCCCAGAGGCAGGAAAUGUUUUUUUUAGCUGAUAAAGUUUUGCCCACAGAGGCAAAAAUGCCCCCCUCAGGCCUUCCCUUGGCAGCACACUGGUUCUUGUUACUCGCUUAUAUGUUUCUCCAUGUUUGUGCCAGUUUCUUUUUUUGAAAAUGCCUGUAUGAAUAGGUUUCUGUUCACCCCACACCCCUGAUACUGUGGUCAUUUAGUUAAAAAAAAAAAAAAAAAGAAGGGGGAAUAUGGUGGUAUUCUUCGUGUUGGUUUGGUCCCCUUCCCCCUACUUCUGAGAGAUUUGGUUUGGUCCCUGCUAGUUUUGUGCCCCUCUUUCUCCCCACCCCCUAUGCUAAGGAGGUCAAGGGUCCCAGCAGCACCCACAGAAGGAGAAAGAUGGGGAAGCACAUGGUGUGGUGAUUUGCCCGCUCGUGAAUAAAGAUUAAACUGCAGCUUCUC